UUAUAUAUCAAAACGUGCGGCUUCAUCGGGAAUCCCGGGCUAUGACUUUUCUAAGAAAUUCGUCAUUUUUUCGCAGAAUUAUUCGCAAAAAACUGCGCAAAAAGUCCCAUAGAAAAUGAAUGGGGAGUGAAAAAAAUCGGCUCAAAAAAUCCACUAUUUUCCAAACGCCACUCCUUCGCCAUACGUUCACCUAGAAACUUCAUUUAACCAUCAAAACGCAGUGAUUUUUCUUGUCUCCACAGGAAUGUAUUUUAUGUCAGGCUGAGAUUUACAGUUUUUGAUCAGUGAGUCCUCAAAAAAGUGAAAAUUCUCAAAAUCUGCUCUGGUUAGAGUGCGGCAUGUCAGUUGGUAGAGUGGAGGAGAGGUGAAAAAUUCGCCUGAAAAUUUCACGAUCGCAUCGCCCUCACGACCAAACUAUAAAUGUUAGGGGAAUGAAAUUUGGUCAGAUUGUAAACAAUUUUCCUGGGAUUCAAAUGAAUCCAAGUUUGAAGACCUAGCUCUUUCUGACGUGAGAUGGCAGGCAGCAGUUUAGACCAAAGUCGCACCGUUCUCUCCAUAAGAACCAAUGUAAACUGAAUCAUCUGCCUCAUGGAGGGACAGUGUUUUUUAAAUCGCUGUAACUCGGUCAUUUCUCACAAGAUUUGGAAAAUAAUUACAUUUAUGGAAAGCCACAGCCUUCCUCUCGCUCACGGUCAUUUUAGUUUUCAGCUACCAUUAACGGUUCGCCCACAAUUAGCGCCAGAACGAGAUGUUGCGCGCUGCUGCUGAGAAGCACUUUUUUGCUGUCUGUGGCAGGCACCGUUGCUAUGGGGGCCCAUAGCAACCGCUCUUACACACGCGCAGGCAUGGUCGCACGCACACACACAGACUCAUUGGUGUGCCACACCCACCUUCACACCCAAUACCUCCACAGGAGCUGCAUUUCAGCCUGAAAAUCAGUUCAACCUCUCAGCUUCACACAGCCUUUACAGCAGGGGUGUCAAACUCACUUCCAACACACCUGAUUCAAAUGAUCAGGCUCGUUAUCAGGCUUCUGCUGAGCUUAAUGAUAGUGUAUCAUUUGAAUCAGGUGUGUUGUAAGAAGGAAACAUCUAAAACAUAGAGGAUAGUGGUCCUCCAGAAACUGAGUUUGACACCCCUGCUUUAGAGUAACUCCAAUCCAAAUGUUGACCAGGUGAGAUCUUCCUGUCUUUCCCUUUCAAAAUAAAAGCACAGCACAAUUUCAAAAUAAAAGCCUGCGAUGGGCCUGAAAACACCAGUUAAACCUCUCAGCUUCACACAGCCUUUACAAUAACUCCAAUCCAAAUUUUGACCAGGUGAGAUCUUCCUGUCUCUGCCUUUCAAAAUAAAAACACAGCACAAUUUCUAAAUAAAAGCCUGCGACAGACUGGAAAUGCCAGUUAAACAUCUCAGCUUCACACAGCCUUUAGAGUAACUCCAAUCCAAUUAUUGAC
Long non-coding RNA from Acanthochromis polyacanthus (spiny chromis), 1454 nucleotides. RefSeq lists it as uncharacterized. NCBI's taxonomy places the organism in Eukaryota, Metazoa, Chordata, Actinopteri, Pomacentridae. The record is from RefSeq and is a predicted model, not a curated record. The transcript is spliced from 3 exons.